Molecule: ribosomal RNA, 497 nt
Filed under: uncultured bacterium
Lineage: Bacteria
Description: partial 16S ribosomal RNA
Rfam family: Bacterial small subunit ribosomal RNA
Source: RNAcentral
GAUGAACGCUGGCGGCGUGCCUAAUACAUGCAAGUCGAGCGAACGGACGAGAAGCUUGCUUCUCUGAUGUUAGCGGCGGACGGGUGAGUAACAAGUGGAUAACCUACCUAUAAGACUGGGAUAACUUCGGGAAACCGGAGCUAAUACCGGAUAAUAUUUUGAACCGCAUGGUUCAAAAGUGAAAGACGGUCUUGCUGUCACUUAUAGAUGGAUCCGCGCUGCAUUAGCUAGUUGGUAAGGUAACGGCUUACCAAGGCAACGAUGCAUAGCCGACCUGAGAGGGUGAUCGGCCACACUGGAACUGAGACACGGUCCAGACUCCUACGGGAGGCAGCAGUAGGGAAUCUUCCGCAAUGGGCGAAAGCCUGACGGAGCAACGCCGCGUGAGUGAUGAAGGUCUUCGGAUCGUAAAACUCUGUUAUUAGGGAAGAACAUAUGUGUAAGUAACUGUGCACAUCUUGACGGUACCUAAUCAGAAAGCCACGGCUAACUACGUG